GCUUACGGCCAUACCACCCUGAACACGCCCUCUCGUCUGAUCUCGGAAGCUAAGCAGGGUCGGGCCUGGUCAGUACUUGGAUGGGACCGCCUGGGAAUACCAGGUGCUGUAAGCU
RNAcentral lists this ribosomal RNA (115 nucleotides) under Oreochromis niloticus (Nile tilapia). The record is from RNAcentral. Lineage: Eukaryota; Metazoa; Chordata; Actinopteri; Cichliformes; Cichlidae.